RNAcentral lists this ribosomal RNA (467 nucleotides) under uncultured bacterium. Its description in RNAcentral is "partial 16S ribosomal RNA". It matches the Rfam family "Bacterial small subunit ribosomal RNA", at positions 28 to 507 of the family's 1533-position model. The record is from RNAcentral.
GAUGAACGCUGGCGGCGUGCUUAACACAUGCAAGUCGAACGGAAAGGCUCCUGCUUGCAGGGGUACUCGAGUGGCGAACGGGUGAGUAACACGUGGGUGAUCUGCCCUGCACUUCGGGAUAAGCCUGGGAAACUGGGUCUAAUACCGGAUAGGACCACAUUUUGGAUGGUGUGGUGGAAAGUUUUUCGGUGUGGGAUGAGCUCGCGGCCUAUCAGCUUGUUGGUGGGGUAAUGGCCUACCAAGGCGUCGACGGGUAGCCGGCCUGAGAGGGUGUACGGCCACAUUGGGACCGGGGUACGGCCCAGACCCCUACGGGAGGCAGCAGUGGGGAAUAUUGCACAAUGGGCGCAAGCCUGAUGCAGCGACGCCGCGUGGGGGAUGACGGCCUUCGGGUUGUAAACUCCUUUCGCUAGGGACGAAGCGUUUUUGUGACGGUACCUGGAGAAGAAGCACCGGCUAACUACGUG